This is a long non-coding RNA of Quercus lobata, 1937 nucleotides long. RefSeq lists it as uncharacterized. The record is from RefSeq and is a predicted model, not a curated record. The transcript is spliced from 4 exons. NCBI's taxonomy places the organism in Eukaryota, Viridiplantae, Streptophyta, Magnoliopsida, Fagales, Fagaceae.
UCCAAAUUAAAAAAGUGCUCCGUUCUAUCGUUUAUUUUCAAAAAAAUGUGCUCCAUUAUAGUGUGUGACCCGCCAAGGUCAUACGAACGCUCUGACGAGAGAGAGAGAGAUAUGGCGUCUUGGUUUUUGGAUUUGUAGAAAUAUGAAGGAAUUGGGGACAUGUGCUCCCUACUCCCUACCUACAAUUCUGGAGAAUGGCGGAUGAUGGCUACAAAUUACAUUGGUGCAUUCUGUUUGACCAAUCUUUUACUACCACUUCUUAAAAAUAGUCCUGUGCCUUCCCAGAUCGUGAAUGUUACAUUUUUUUACUCAUCCAAAUGGUAAAAUUGGUUUGUAGUUAUGUAUGUGAACAUGUUUCUAUGAACAAUUAGUGGUACAUUAGGGAAAAACUAGUACACUUCUAAUUAUUGCCUGUGUACUACUUGCUCAUCCUUGAUUCUAUGCCAAUGCCAUUACUUUGGCAUUGGCUCUGAAAUUGCUGUCCAUUUCUGAUACAUUCAAUCUGCCGAUAUGAUGACGUUAGUUGGAAAAAAAGUGAAAAGAGAAAAGCAAAGAAAAGAGAAGUUAAAGAAGGAGACUUGUAAAAGAAUGUUAGUGCUGGAAAUUUUGUUUGACAGGCAUAUUGAUGUGUCAAAGAGGUCACCAGGCUUAAGUUGUAAUGUUUCAUUAAUAUGGUAAAUGAAUGAAUGUGCUAACUUACUAACAUCUGACUGUUGCCUUAACUGAAAAUGGCAAAAGAAAAGUGCAUGCUGAUUGAUCCCUCAGGAUAAGAUAUGCUAUGAUGGCUUUCCAUUGAGCCAAAAAGAUAAGAUAUGCUGUAAUGAGAGUUCCUGCAAUAUCACCUUUUCCACAUGGUGCUUGAUGGUUUGUUAAAUUUCUUUAUAAGCAGGAAUUUAUAGUUAGAAGAGUUCAAACCCAUAAUUGCAUCGGCUAACAGAUUAUUUAACACAAAAUUCAUGAACUCCUUGUUCUUCAGUUUUUAAUUUGCAGGUUGACUAGGAAACUGUUUCGGGGAAGUGCUUCUCAAGAACAAAACCAUAUCCAUGUGCUCGUAUUUAUGAGAAUUCUAAAUUGCUGUGGAUCCCGGAGUAGUGGAAACCAAUAUUAUGCGAGAGGUUCCCUCGUGCCUUUCUUGUGUAGCAUUUACAUUUUACAGUCUUGAAGCUUCUCAGCCUUUUGCAAUCACCUAAAAAAGGGAUAAGCUCUGUUCUUGAUGCAGCCCUUGUGCAACCAGAUAUAUCUGGAGUAUACCUUUUCAGUGGAAAGGGUAGAACCAUUAACUCUUCUGCACUUUCGCACAACAGCAAACUUGCACAUGAACCUUGGACCACUUCAUACAAUCUGUUUAUGCAGUCAUAGCUUGCUGUUAAGGUUAAGGAAAUUUCCACGUGAAUAUUUGAUUGUAAUAGGGAGGGAAUGUCUUCAUCAACGAAAAGCAAAGAGAAAUAGCACGGAUUUGAAAUGGUGGCAGUUGCACGGAGUGCGGUUGAUGGCCUGUUCACUUCUCAGUUUGUCAGUCCUUUUGCAUCAUGGAUGUUGUGAUAGAUGCAGUCUUGCAGUUGCAGAGCUGUAAUUGGAACUUGUUUAUGUUAUUUCUUUGCAAAAGCCUCGAGAGCUUUUCAGAUAUCAUGGUUCUUUAAAAGUAAGAUCAGAAAAGAAAUGGUGGAACACAGCAACAGAAGCCAAAUGGAGACAUCGUUGUUCAUGUUGUUUGUGGGAAAUAGUGGAGACGUAAGUGGAACUUGUUUAAGUUUUGUGGGCUGAAUAUAUAAAAUGUUAACAACGCGUUUACAUAAAUGUUAAUUGUUUUUGUUUCAAGACAUAUGAGAAAAGGAGGAAAGCCUCAAAGUGACUGCUGCUGCAGCAAUAUAUAUAUGUAGAUGAUGCCAUAUCUUAUGUGAAUGAAUGCAUAUGGAUUGUAGUCUAAAUAGAAAGGA